Long non-coding RNA from Rhodamnia argentea, 160 nucleotides. RefSeq lists it as uncharacterized. NCBI's taxonomy places the organism in Eukaryota, Viridiplantae, Streptophyta, Magnoliopsida, Myrtales, Myrtaceae. The transcript is spliced from 3 exons. The record is from RefSeq and is a predicted model, not a curated record.
AGACCUGGAGGUAAAUUCUGAAAUCAUCAAAUGGCCUAGGACUUUUAUGUAGCUAAUGCUGAUGAUUUGAUGUGUAUCUUGGGCACUAAUAGAUGAGAUUUUGUUCAUGGAAUGUAGCUUUUCAUGUGGAGAUACCAUCUCAAAUUUUCUAUAAGAUAGC